UACGGAGGGGGCAAGCGUUUUUCGGAAUUACUGGGCGUAAAGGGUGCGUAGGCGGACCUUCAAGUCAGGGGUGAAAGGCCUGGGCUCAACCUGGGAACUGCCUUUGAAACUGGAGGUCUUGAGUCCGGGAGAGGAUGGGGGAAUUCCCAGUGUAGAGGGGAAAUUCGUAGAUAUUGGGAAGAACACCGGUGGCGAAGGCGGCCAUCUGGUCCGGCACUGACGCUGAGGCGCGAACGCGUGGGGAGCAAACAGG
This 253-nucleotide ribosomal RNA is filed under the name uncultured bacterium. RNAcentral's name for it is "partial 16S ribosomal RNA". It matches the Rfam family "Bacterial small subunit ribosomal RNA", at positions 524 to 776 of the family's 1533-position model. The record is from RNAcentral.